RNAcentral lists this long non-coding RNA (1159 nucleotides) under Canis lupus familiaris (dog). Its description in RNAcentral is "lncRNA (ENSCAFG00000058813.1)". The record is from RNAcentral. Lineage: Eukaryota; Metazoa; Chordata; Mammalia; Carnivora; Canidae.
CUAUAUCAUAAGCUUGUUGGGGAGGUCUGGAUUUGAUCUCCUUGGAGGCCAGCUCAGUGGCUUGGUCCUUGUGUGCCUGGGUCAGUUCAUCAUCUCUGCUGUGACUCAGUGCCCUCAUCUCAUCUGGACUCAGAACCGAGGUAGGAGAUCAUUGGUUGCAUAUUUGUUGGGUAGAUCUACAUGUAUCUGCACCAGACAUUGCUGUCACACAUAGCUAGAGUCUGACAGGAACAUGCAGGUAGAGCCCGUGUGAUGAGGGCUCAGAUAGAGAUGUGUGUCAGGCACUGGAGAGGGGAUGGGAAGGCCCCAGUGUGCUAGGGGAGCAGGGAGGACAUCACAGAGGAGAUACCAUGGGAGGGGCAGUGCAGGACCUUGUGUAAUGGACGGGGGACAGAGGUAACAGGGCAUGCCAGGUCAGCGAAAGAAUGACUCUUGGGAAGAGAUGAGGCAAGUGUAUAAAGCCAGAGCAGUGGUGUUUGAGAGAAAAUGGGAGGCAAGGUUGUUAUCACAGGCAGGAGCUAGAUCAUGAAGGGCCUUGCAAGCCUAGCCAAGGGUGACUGUCCUCAAUUUCCUGGGAUAGUCCCAGUUUAUGCCUAUUAACUUGGUACAAUUAUGAGCAGUGUCCCCUUUUCACCCCUACAAAGGGUUAGGUUUGUUAAUAAGUGACGUGUUGAUACAUUUAUCUUGCUCAUAGGUAUUGGAACCCACUGUAGGAUUCUAAACAUCAUAGCGACAGGGUGAAAUUUUGAGUUGGGUAGAUGAUUCAGGAGGUGGUAGAGAGGUUGGAAGGCAGGAGUAGUGGUGAUAGCCUGCAGUGAGCAGUGGUCAUGGAGUCGGGGAAGAGAGCACUAAUGGCAAAAGCAUCCCCAAUGUACAGACCAUGGCAUUUGGUGAACCAAUGGCUUUCUAUCGAGGGGGCUAGGGGUAACUGAGUAGAGCAGGCUUAGUGGGGUGUGUUUAGACUUAUGGUUUAGGGGCCAUGGGGAAGCCAGAAAAGAAGUCAAGUAUGGAGCUGGAAAUGCUGGGUUGAGGUCCAGAAGAGAAGACUGAGCUGCAGAUAGCCAUUCGGGAGUCAUUAGGCUGUGGGUGAUCAUCGCCACCAUCAGCAUGGAUGUGACUGUCCAGGAAGAGAGUAUGUUGAAGAGGGGAAAAAUAAAAA